GGAGAGUUUGAUCCUGGCUCAGGGCGAACGCUGGCGGCGUGCCUAACACAUGCAAGUCGAACGAGGUCGCCUUCGGGCAAUGACCUAGUGGCGAACGGGUGCGUAACACGUGAGGAACCUGCCCCGAAGACUGGGACAACCACGGGAAACUGUGGCUAAUACCAGAUGCCCUCCUCUGAUCGCAUGAUCGGAUGAGGAAAUGCUCCGGCGCUUCGGGAGGGCCUCGCGGCCUAUCAGCUUGUUGGUGGGGUAACGGCUCACCAAGGCAGUGACGGGUAGCUGGUCUGAGAGGACGAUCAGCCACACUGGGACUGAGACACGGCCCAGACUCCUGCGGGAGGCAGCAGUGGGGAAUCUUGCGCAAUGGGCGAAAGCCUGACGCAGCAACGCCGCGUGGGGGAUGAAGGCUCUCGGGUUGUAAACCCCUUUCAGCAGGGACGAAAUUGACGGUACCUGAAGAAGAAGCCCCGGCCAACUACGUGCCAGCAGCCGCGGUGACACGUAGGGGGCGAGCGUUGUCCGGAAUUAUUGGGCGUAAAGAGCUCGUAGGCGGUUUAGUAAGUCAGAUGUGAAAGGUUGGGGCUCAACCCUAAGACUGCAUCCGAUACUGCUAUGACUAGAGUCCGGUAGAGGAGUGUGGAAUUCCUGGUGUAGCGGUGAAAUGCGCAGAUAUCAGGAGGAACACCGACGGCGAAGGCAGCACUCUGGGCCGGUACUGACGCUCAGGAGCGAAAGCGUGGGUAGCAAACAGGAUUAGAUACCCUGG
This 766-nucleotide ribosomal RNA is filed under the name uncultured bacterium. RNAcentral's name for it is "bacterial SSU rRNA". It matches the Rfam family "Bacterial small subunit ribosomal RNA", at positions 8 to 790 of the family's 1533-position model. RNAcentral also lists the same sequence under 1 other name. The record is from RNAcentral.